Molecule: ribosomal RNA, 500 nt
Filed under: Gotozyma siamensis
Lineage: Eukaryota; Fungi; Ascomycota; Saccharomycetes; Phaffomycetales; Phaffomycetaceae
Description: eukaryotic LSU rRNA
Rfam family: 5.8S ribosomal RNA (bases 191-344)
Source: RNAcentral
CUAAGGAAGUAAAAGUCGUAACAAGGUUUCCGUAGGUGAACCUGCGGAAGGAUCAUUACAGUUUUACUGCGAGGCGCGAGCCGAGCACGUAUAUAUACCCUUGAAUACUAUUUUAAAAAUUGGACUUCGGUCCCGCAAAACACAAAAAAAACUUUUUAAAACGAAUCACAAACAAUACUAAAAAUAUCAAAACUUUCAACAACGGAUCUCUUGGUUCUCGCAACGAUGAAGAACGCAGCGAAUUGCGAUACGUAUUGUGAAUUGCAGAUUUUCGUGAAUCAUCGAAUCUUUGAACGCACAUUGCGCCCUGUGGUAUUCCACAGGGCAUGCCUGUUUGAGCGUCGUUUCCUUCUCAAGUCGCGAGAUUUGGUGUUGGGCAUGGCGGCAGCCGGUCUGAAAUAUUUGUGGAGCGCGCGAGUCUGAGCGCUAGUGUCUAGCAAUAUUCAUUAGUUGUGGCAAGACUUUUCCAGCAAUCCAAGUAAAUAUCACAGCAAUCGACC